UUUGUACAGAUUAUAAUUUGUAUUUCGAUUCAAUUAUUUGGUCAAGGGUUAAUAAUGUAGGAAAAAAAAAGUUAAAUUGCAAGCCCUUUAUAAAUUGGAAUUGGCAUCAAGUUGGGUGAGAUUUUGAGAAGUAUAAUAACUCUUUGGCUUUGUAGUCUUAUUAGUUAUUAUUAUUUAUCACGUCACGUGAUAUUCAUACUGAUAUAUGUGUUAGUAAUCAAACAAACACAUUAAAGCAUGCAUAAUGUUUCUUAAUUGUGAGUUAACAAUAAUAGUGGCAUUGUCCCCCGUGAGACAUAGAUUUGUAGUAACCGCCUUUUCCAUUGCCGCAUCCAUUGUGACACCAACGGUUGCAUCUCUGCUCGUCAUUGUUUGUGUUGCACUUUCCAAAUUUUGGGUGGCUAUUACAACACAAAGAACCACCACUCUCUACAUUAUAUAUCCUUCAACAUCUGCUACUAUCACACAUAAUUGAAACAGUUUUGUCUAAUACGAGUUCAUGAAAUUUUCUCAUUAAAGUAACAAAUUUGUAUUGAAACGCAAAAAUAAGUUUGUUAAAGUGUAAACACUUGAGAAAGUACUCCUAAUUAUAAGAGAGAAGACAUACCAAUAACUGAGAAAGUGAGAACAAUGAGCAAAGCAAAAGAAAAAACUUUCAAACUAGCCAUUGUUAAUAGUCUUUUUAGA
RNAcentral lists this small RNA (687 nucleotides) under Arabidopsis thaliana (thale cress). RNAcentral's name for it is "ATSL026210". Lineage: Eukaryota; Viridiplantae; Streptophyta; Magnoliopsida; Brassicales; Brassicaceae. The record is from RNAcentral.